GGGAAGGUGGCUCAGUGGUAGAGUGCUUGCCUUGCAUGCAUGAAGCCCUGGGUUUGAUUCCUCUGUACCA
This 70-nucleotide transfer RNA is filed under the name Dipodomys ordii (Ord's kangaroo rat). It matches the Rfam family "tRNA". Rfam says of the family: Transfer RNA (tRNA) molecules are approximately 80 nucleotides in length. Their secondary structure includes four short double-helical elements and three loops (D, anti-codon, and T loops). The record is from Rfam by way of RNAcentral. Lineage: Eukaryota; Metazoa; Chordata; Mammalia; Rodentia; Heteromyidae.